GAUGAACGCUGGCGGCGUGCCUAAUACAUGCAAGUCGAGCGAACGGACGAGAAGCUUGCUUCUCUGAUGUUAGCGGCGGACGGGUGAGUAACACGUGGAUAACCUACCUAUAAGACUGGGAAACUUCGGGAAACCGGAGCUAAUACCGGAUAAUAUUUUGAACCGCAUGGUUCAAAAGUGAAAGACGGUCUUGCUGUCACUUAUAGAUGGAUCCGCGCUGCAUUAGCUAGUUGGUAAGGUAACGGCUUACCAAGGCAACGAUGCAUAGCCGACCUGAGAGGGUGAUCGGCCACACUGGAACUGAGACACGGUCCAGACUCCUACGGGAGGCAGCAGUAGGGAAUCUUCCGCAAUGGGCGAAAGCCUGACGGAGCAACGCCGCGUGAGUGAUGAAGGUCUUCGGAUCGUAAAACUCUGUUAUUAGGGAAGAACAUAUGUGUAAGUAACUGUGCACAUCUUGACGGUACCUAAUCAGAAAGCCACGGCUAACUACGUG
This 496-nucleotide ribosomal RNA is filed under the name uncultured bacterium. RNAcentral's name for it is "partial 16S ribosomal RNA". It matches the Rfam family "Bacterial small subunit ribosomal RNA", at positions 28 to 507 of the family's 1533-position model. The record is from RNAcentral.